CAUAUGCUUGUCUCAAAGAUUAAGCCAUGCAUGUCUAAGUUCACACUGUCUCACGGUGAAACCGCGAAUGGCUCAUUAAAUCAGUCGAGGUUCCUUAGAUGACACGAUCCUACUUGGAUAACUGUGGCAAUUCUAGAGCUAAUACAUGCCUAUGAAGCUCCGACCCUCGUGGAAAGAGCGCUUUUAUUAGUUCAAAACCAAUCGCCGGUCGUCUUCGGGCGGCCGGUGUCCCCAUUGGUGACUCUGGAUAACUUUGUGCUGAUCGCAUGGCCUCCGCGCCGGCGACGCAUCUUUCAAAUGUCUGCCCUAUCAAAUGUCGAUGGUACGUGAUAUGCCUACCAUGUUUGUAACGGGUAACGGGGAAUCAGGGUUCGAUUCCGGAGAGGGAGCAUGAGAAACGGCUACCACAUCCAAGGAAGGCAGCAGGCGCGCAACUUACCCACUCCCGGCACGGGGAGGUAGUGACGAAAAAUAACAAUACGGGACUCUCUACGAGGCUCCGUAAUUGGAAUGAGUACACUUUAAACCCUUUAACGAGUAUCUAUUGGAGGGCAAGUCUGGUGCCAGCAGCCGCGGUAAUUCCAGCUCCAAUAGCGUAUAUUAAAGUUGUUGCAGUUAAAAAGCUCGUAGUUGGAUCUCAGGUGCAGGCGGACGGUCCGGCUCGCGCCGGUUCACUGUCCGUAUUUCCUGCCCUACUGGUCUGCCGGCUCUCUCCCGUGGGUGCUCUUCACUGAGCGUCCCGGGUGGCCGGCGCGUUUACUUUGAAAAAAUUAGAGUGUUCAAAGCAGGCCUCGGCUGCCUGAAUAAUGGUGCAUGGAAUAAUGGAAUAGGACCUCGGUUCUAUUUUGUUGGUUUUCGGAACUGGAGGUAAUGAUUAAAAGGGACAAACGGGGGCAUUCGUAUUGCGGCGUUAGAGGUGAAAUUCUUGGAUCGCCGCAAGACGAGCUACUGCGAAAGCAUUUGUCAAGAAUGUUUUCAUUAAUCAAGAACGAAAGUCA
Molecule: ribosomal RNA, 998 nt
Filed under: Roxaniella sp. B TRO-2019
Lineage: Eukaryota; Metazoa; Mollusca; Gastropoda; Cephalaspidea; Haminoeidae
Description: SSU rRNA
Rfam family: Eukaryotic small subunit ribosomal RNA
Source: RNAcentral